Molecule: ribosomal RNA, 443 nt
Filed under: uncultured bacterium
Lineage: Bacteria
Description: partial 16S ribosomal RNA
Rfam family: Bacterial small subunit ribosomal RNA
Source: RNAcentral
CCUACGGGUGGCUGCAGUGGGGAAUAUUGGACAAUGGGGGGAACCCUGAUCCAGCGACGCCGCGUGAGUGAAGAAGUAUUUCGGUAUGUAAAGUUCUAUCAGCAGGGAAGAAAGAAAUUACGGUACCUGACUAAGAAGCCCCGGCUAACUACGUGCCAGCAGCCGCGGUAAUACGUAGGGGGCAAGCGUUAUACGGAUGUACUGGGUGUAAAGGGAGCGUAGACGGUUACGCAAGUCUUGAGUGAAAGUCGGGGGCGCAACCCCCGGACUGCUUUGGAAACUGUAUAACUGGAGUGCAGGAGAGGUAAGUGGAAUUCCUGGUGUAGCGGUGAAAUGCGUAGAGAUUAGGAGGAACACCAGUGGCGAAGGCGGCUUACUGGACUGUAACUGACGUUGAGGCUCGAAAGCGUGGGGAGCAAACAGGAUUAGAUACCCCUGUAGUC